This 433-nucleotide ribosomal RNA is filed under the name uncultured bacterium. RNAcentral describes it as "partial 16S ribosomal RNA". It matches the Rfam family "Bacterial small subunit ribosomal RNA", at positions 29 to 507 of the family's 1533-position model. The record is from RNAcentral.
AGUGAACGCUGGCGGCAGGCCUAACACAUGCAAGUCGAACGAACUCUUCGGAGUUAGUGGCGGACGGGUGAGUAACACGUGGGAACGUGCCUUUUGGUUCGGAAUAACUCAGGGAAACUUGUACUAAUACCGAAUGUGCCCUUCGGGGGAAAGAUUUAUCGCCAUUAGAGCGGCCCGCGUCUGAUUAGCUAUUUGGUGAGGUAACGGCUCACCAAGGCGACGAUCAGUAGCUGGUCUGAGAGGAUGACCAGCCACACUGGGACUGAGACACGGCCCAGACUCCUACGGGAGGCAGCAGUGGGGAAUCUUGCGCAAUGGGCGAAAGCCUGACGCAGCCAUGCCGCGUGAAUGAUGAAGGUCUUAGGAUUGUAAAAUUCUUUCACCGGGGACGAUAAUGACGGUACCCGGAGAAGAAGCCCCGGCUAACUUCGUG